RNAcentral lists this ribosomal RNA (97 nucleotides) under uncultured bacterium. RNAcentral describes it as "partial 16S ribosomal RNA". It matches the Rfam family "Bacterial small subunit ribosomal RNA", at positions 1388 to 1482 of the family's 1533-position model. The record is from RNAcentral.
CACCGCCCGUCACACCAUGGGAGUUGGCAACACCCGAAGUCGGUGAGGUAACUGCUUGCAGAGCCAGCCGCCUAAGGUGGGGUCGAUGACUGGGGUG